Molecule: transfer RNA, 85 nt
Filed under: Felis catus (domestic cat)
Lineage: Eukaryota; Metazoa; Chordata; Mammalia; Carnivora; Felidae
Rfam family: tRNA
About the family: Transfer RNA (tRNA) molecules are approximately 80 nucleotides in length. Their secondary structure includes four short double-helical elements and three loops (D, anti-codon, and T loops).
Source: Rfam by way of RNAcentral
GCCUGGGUGGCUCAGUUGGUCAAGCAUCCGACUUUGGCUCAGGUCAUGAUCUCAUGCUUCGUGGGUUUGAAUCCCACAUCGGGCU